RNAcentral lists this ribosomal RNA (254 nucleotides) under uncultured bacterium. Its description in RNAcentral is "partial 16S ribosomal RNA". It matches the Rfam family "Bacterial small subunit ribosomal RNA", at positions 524 to 777 of the family's 1533-position model. The record is from RNAcentral.
UACGUAGGGUGCAAGCGUUGUCCGGAAUUAUUGGGCGUAAAGAGCUUGUAGGCGGUUUGUCGCGUCUGCUGUGAAAUUUCGGGGCUCAACCCCGAACUUGCAGCGGGUACGGGCAGACUAGAGUGUGGUAGGGGAGACUGGAAUUCCCGGUGUAGUGGUGAAAUGCGUAGAUAUCGGGAGGAACACCAGUGGCGAAGGCGACUUCCUGGCCUGUUCUUGACGCUGAGGCGCGAAAGCUAGGGGAGCAAACGGGG